This 240-nucleotide ribosomal RNA is filed under the name uncultured bacterium. Its description in RNAcentral is "partial 16S ribosomal RNA". It matches the Rfam family "Bacterial small subunit ribosomal RNA", at positions 29 to 297 of the family's 1533-position model. The record is from RNAcentral.
AGCGAACGCUGGCGGCAGGCUUAACACAUGCAAGUCGAGCGCCCCGCAAGGGGAGCGGCAGACGGGUGAGUAACACGUGGGAACGUGCCUUUUGGUUCGGAACAACUGAGGGAAACUUCAGCUAAUACCGGAUAAGCCCUUACGGGGGAAAGAUUUAUCGCCAAAAGAUCGGCCCGCGUCUGAUUAGCUAGUUGGUGAGGUAAUGGCUCACCAAGGCUACGAUCAGUAGCUGUUCNGAGA